AGGAAUCACGUGACUCGAGAGAGAUCUCGCGAGGAUUUUUAACCUCUCGCGAUACUUCACCCGCCUCUUCUAUACCUCCUUCAGCCCCCGGUUUUAGUCCUCUCCAGUUCACUCCCGGUUGAGAUCCGAGUUUCUAGCCCGGGUUAACUAGUUGUCGACGCGGACUUUUUUGUUGCUGCUGCUGUUGCUGCCACCGCUGGGCUCAUUUGCCCCUUACCCCUUCCCGUCGCCACUCUCCCAACCCCACACAAGAUGUCAGAGGAUCUAGCAAAGCAGCUGGCAAGCUACAAAGCUCAACUCCAGCAAGUUGAGGCUGCGCUGUCUGGAAAUGGAGAAAAUGAAGAUUUACUAAAAUUAAAGAAAGAUUUACAAGAGGUUAUUGAACUAACCAAAGACCUUCUAUCAACUCAGCCUUCUGAAACUCUGGCAAGUUCAGACAACUUUGCUUCUACUCAGCCCACUCAUUCAUGGAAAGUGGGAGACAAGUGUAUGGCAAUCUGGAGUGAAGAUGGACAGUGUUAUGAAGCGGAGAUUGAGGAGAUAGAUGAAGAAAACGGCACCGCUGCAAUCACUUUUGCUGGCUAUGGCAAUGCUGAAGUGACUCCACUGUUGAACCUCAAGCCUGUAGAAGAAGGAAGGAAGGCAAAGGAAGACAGUGGCAACAAACCCAUGUCAAAAAAAGAAAUGAUUGCCCAGCAGCGUGAAUAUAAAAAGAAGAAAGCUUUGAAAAAAGCACAGAGAAUAAAAGAACUUGAACAAGAAAGAGAGGACCAGAAGGUGAAAUGGCAACAGUUCAACAACAGAGCCUAUUCUAAAAACAAAAAAGGCCAGGUAAAGAGGAGUAUUUUUGCUUCACCUGAGAGCGUCACUGGCAAAGUUGGAGUGGGAACUUGUGGAAUCGCUGAUAAACCUAUGACACAGUAUCAGGAUACCUCCAAAUACAAUGUUCGGCAUUUGAUGCCGCAAUAGUCAGAAAAACUGUUGGAUUUCAUCUCUGCAGGGCUUUACAUUUACCUUUUUAUCCUUAUAUUUUUCUAAAGGGUGUGUUAACCGAUAGGUAAAGUCUUAGCUGCCAGCAUUGAUACAGUGAUAAAGCAUACAUCAUUUCCACAGAAAAGAAUAUUGAGAUUUUUGAGUUGCAAGUUAGACUGAAUUUUUACUGCAGUGGAGAGGAAGAGCAUAGCAGGUAAAAUAACAGGUAAUACCAUAGUUUAAACAAAACCAAAGUUACUGAAUCAUCUUAUACUGUGAUCUUUUUUUAAAAGCAUAUCUGUAUAAAUGUACUCUUAAGAAACAUCUCAAGAGGUUCAGAAAUCAAUAUUGACUUUCUAUGAAUUUGUUUUGGCCUUGCCAGAGUAAGUACUUAAAAAAAAAAAAAACACAGAGAUGAAGGUGUUGGAUUUCUGUGAGGGUCUUCACUUACCUUUCAGCUUACGUAUAUAUUAAGUUGGUGCAAAUGUAAUUGCAGUUUCAGACCGUGAAUUUUAAGUCAUAAUUAGGCUCAAACACAUCUUUAUUAAUCAAAAUAGGAACCAUUACAAUGAACACAUUUUUGCCAACGAGAAAUAAGUUUACUCUUAGCAUAAAAAUCUAUGCCUUGGGAUUCAGUGAAUUCUUGGAAAGCAUUUUCUGCCUCCUGCUGGUCGUGGAAGCAUUUUCCCUGCAAAAAAAUAUCGUCAAGAUUCUCAAAGUGCUAUCUGGUUGGCGAGAGAUCAGGUGAUUAAGGAGGAUGAGGCAAAACUUCAUAGCCCAGUUCAUUCAACUUUUAAAGCAGUUGUGCGACUUGCGGUUAGGCCCUGUAGUGGAGAAGAGUUAGGCCCUUGCUGUUGACCAGUGCUAGCAGUGGGAGUUGUUGUUUUUGGUGCAUCUCAUCAGUUGGCUGAGCACACUUCUCAAUGUAAGUUUUGCCAGGAUUCAGAAAGCUGUAGUGGAUCAGACCAGCAGCAGGCCACCACACAGUGACCAUGACCUUUUUUGGGUGCAAGUUUGGCUCUGGGAACUGCUUUGGAGGUGCUCAGUCCAACCACUGAGCUGGUUAUCACAUAAAGUCCACUUUUCAUCAUGUCACAGUCUUGAGAAAUGGCUCAUUGUUGUGUAGAAUAAGAGAAGACAAUACUUCAAAACAAUAUUUUUGAUUUUGUGGGCAGUGCACGAGGCACCCACUUACCGAGCUUUCUCAACUUUCCAAUUUGCUUCAAAUGCUGAACGACCAUAGGAUGGUCGAUGUGGAGUUCCUUGGCAAUUUCUCUUGUAAGAGGAUCAGUUUCAACGAUGGCUCUCUGUUGGUCGUUGUCAGCUUCUGAUGGCUGGCCACUGCGCUCCUCAUCUUCAAGGCUGUCUCCUCCUUUGCAAAACUUCUUAAACCACCAUGUGCUGUACGUUCAUUAGGAGUUCCUGGGCCAAAUGUGCUGUUGUGAGUUGUCUCUGUUGCUUUACAACCCAUUUUAAACUCAAAUAAGAAAAUCACUCAAAUUGCUUUUUGUCUUAGUAUUAUUUCCAUAGCCUAAAAUACAAACAGCAAGUAACAAGCCACUAGCAAAAAAACAAAAGCAUGAAAUGCACAUUAAAAUGAUUAAGAAUGUAUUCCAAUGUCAAACAAAAAAGGUCAACAAAGCAGAAUCCCAAUUAUUUCUGCACCAACCUAAGUUUCUUUGUUUGUGUGUGCCUUGAGCAGGGAAGAGCAGAUCUGAGAAUAAGCUGAACUUAUACUAAAAAUACCAAAUUUUGGAUACUUAAGUCACCUUUUAGUUGCUGGAAAGAAAAAAAACUGGCAGUUUACUUCCACCAAGCACUUGACCAGUUCAUUUUUACAGGAAGAGUAGACUUGUUACAAUUAUUAAAAUUGUAAUUUGUUUCCCCAGUUAAACAGCACAGCUAAAGAAGCCAUGGUUAUGCUCAUUAGAAGAAAAGGGUUUUUUUGUUUUUUAAUGUUUGAAGAGCUAAUCUGUCAGCUUGAGGGCCCAAAAUCAUGAUUAUUAUUUUGCUGGCUCAUGACUUUCAUUUUUUUGGUGGAACUGAUGUGCAUUUGUUUUUUCCCCCUUUUAAGCCCAACUCAUUUUAGCAAGAUGCAGUAGGCUUGGAGGAAACACUUGACUUAGGAGCAAACACUUGACUUUGGAAAACUAGUGUUGAAGUCUGACAUCCGCAGCUAGGCUAGUCUUUAAUAGAUGGUAAUUGUCCAGGUGUUCAUUGCCCAGAAGUAUGCAGGAAGGAGGAGUAAGUAUCCAUUUGGUUCUUUUGCCCAGAGUUUUUCCCUCCAAAAGCACCGUCAAGUUUAGUUGACCUUUCAGAGUGAAUCUGAUGAAGCUGCAAACUUAGAAACAGUUGACUUCUUAAAUUUGUAUUAUAUACAUUUUAGAGGUAUUUUAUGGCUUUUAUGUUUUUUACAAUGUUAUUCUGUGCCCUGGUAUGAAAAUCUAGAAUAUCCCAAUUACUGUCCUACUGGUAAAGAUUUUUAAAAGCAUUCCUCCAUAGCUAAGAGCUUGAGAAAAUAGAAAAGUCCAAACUUAUAGAAAGUUGGCAGAACUUUAAAAGAGCUUCAUUUUCAUUUUAAGUCAUUUCCCCUAAUAAUCAAUUACUGUAUGAAAAGGUAAAGGGCUUCCCAGGUGGCACUAGUGGUAAAGAAUCCGCCUGCCAGUGCAGGAGACGAAAGA
Molecule: RNA transcript, 3653 nt
Organism: Odocoileus virginianus texanus
Lineage: Eukaryota; Metazoa; Chordata; Mammalia; Artiodactyla; Cervidae
Gene: SMNDC1
Gene name: survival motor neuron domain containing 1
Source: RefSeq, a predicted model, not a curated record